RNA transcript from Colletes gigas, 4928 nucleotides. RefSeq lists it as uncharacterized. The record is from RefSeq and is a predicted model, not a curated record. Lineage: Eukaryota; Metazoa; Arthropoda; Insecta; Hymenoptera; Colletidae. The transcript has 8 exons.
ACUGCAGACACUCGAAGUCUGCAGCGAACACGGGAGUUGCUGUAAAAUCACAAAUCCCGACGGACAUAGUUACGGGCCCGUUGCACGACCGUGGCGAACAGAUUCUCGAACCGGGGCUCGAACGUCUCUCGAGCAUCGUCCCCCGCGUCCGUCGAAAUCGCGAUCCGACGGCUACCAGCGUCUCGUAACCGGCUGCUGACAUUUCCGUGGAUUAAUUGUGUCCCGGGUUGGCGAGCAAAUUCUUGGAACCCGAGUGGUCCGGGAGUGAGUGAGUGAACGAAAGUUCGAGGCGUCUCUUGGGAAUCGUAGCCUGUCCGAGGAAAGUGAUAAGCCAAGUGUUACGCGAUGCUGUGAUAACGGACGAUAAAGUGUAGACGUUCCAGGCUGUAGACGACCAACUUAGGGGGAAACCAUUCUCCGUUUCUCGAUCACGAAUCGAACCAGACCGGGACGCUGGAGUUUUGGGAAGAUUCGAUGACCUGAUCGCUACGACCACGCGGAACGACAUCGAGGUCCAUUCACCGCGAAAUGACAGAACGUGAGCCCCGCGAUCACUGCGUCGACCACACCGAAUUGUCGAGCGCGUACACGAUUUUUGGCUUCGAUUCGAGCCCGUGGCGCACGAUCGACGACCGUCCGUCAGAAUGAGCCUAAUGAAGAAGGCCAUCGGCGGCUCCAUUCACAGGAUACGAGAGUUCGAGCUAGAAAAGGUGAAUCUGAUCGACGAGUUCGAUAUCCUGCAAAUAGUCGGCGAAGGAUGGUUCGGCAAGAUCCUGUUGACCGAGCACCGCAGCACACAGACGGAGAUGGUGCUCAAAGCUCUGCCAAAGGCGUACACCGGCAUCACGGAUUUCUUCCGCGAGUUUCACUAUGGUCUUCACCUGGCCGCGCACAAGAACAUCAUCACCACCUACGACGUGGCCUUCGAGACCGCUGGAUUCUACGUCUUCAGCCAGGAGUACGCGCCAUUAGGAGACCUAACGUCCAACGUGACGGAGACUGGCCUCGGCGAGCUGCACGCGAAGAGGGUGGCCAGACAGCUGGCUGCAGCGGUACAUCAUAUCCACAGCCGCGAGCUGGUGCACCGCGACAUCAAGCUGGACAACAUACUCGUGUUCCGCAGCGACUUCUCGCGGAUCAAGCUAUGCGACUUCGGCGAGACCAGGCGGGUCAACACCGUGGUCAGGCGACACAACGAGUGGCUGCCAUACUCGCCGCCCGAGGUAUUGCAGAUCGACACUGACGAGACGUACAAAGCUCUCGCGUCGCACGAUGUCUGGCAAUUCGGCAUUGUCCUAUUUGUCUGUCUGACCGGAUGCUUGCCGUGGCAGAAGGCGGCGUUGGACGACCCGCGGUACACCAGAUAUCAAAACUGGCACAACGCGACGCUCAACAUAGCCAAGAAGCCGAAAUUAUUUCAGCUGAUCAGCUCGCGGGCGCAGAGAAUGUUCAAACGGCUGUUGGACCCUAAGGCGGAAAAGAGGCCCGUCAGCGUCUUGGAAGCGAACAAAUACCUCGAGGACAGGUGGUUGGCCAAGCUCGGGGCGGAGAAGGCCAUGAACGGUGGCGCCGACGAGAGGGACGAGCUCUGCCCCUCGAUGUACAGCUUCCACAGCUCCGUCGAGGAGAAGAAUCAGCUUCUUCACACCCUGACCACGUACGGGAUCGAGACGACGGUCGACAGAGCGAAGAAGAAGGAUCGUAUCAGGGAGUGGAUUCAGGCGAGCGCGAUCGUCGAGGAGUACGAAGAGGAGGAAUCCGAUCUCAACGAAGAGAUCCACUUUUACGAGGACGAGGACGAGGAGCCGUCCACGAUGAAGGGCAGACACUUCCCGGAGACCAGACCGAUCGUCAAGCAACCCGACGAAACCAAACGACACAAACACCACCGAUCGAACAACGUGUCUACGGCUACCAGGAGGAGGCAGUCGGUCAAACCCACCGAGAGGAAGAUUCCGUUCGCGCCUCAGGUCGCCGAGGAACGCGAGACCGUCGCUCGAUUCGCGAGCUUCCCCAACGGCGAUCCCAGCCUGGCGAUCUCCAACGGGACCAACGGCAGUUUGAUGGUCGGCCCCAUCGCGGAGGAGACCAGAUCGAUCGGUAAAAACGGCCAGACGGUCAAUAGUUCACCGGUGAACGGUCUGAACGGUUCUCGAGACGUCGUCGCCGCCGCGUUACCCACGACCAGCGGCUUCAAUCCUAAUUUACCCGAGGAAACUACCAGGAACUCCGAUCCCCAAGAUCGAGCCGUCCCGCAGGGGGGCGUAGGGGCAGAUCGAAGUUUGCCCAGGAGCCCGCUGAUCCCGGCGAGAAAGCAUCGCUCGCAGACCGCCCCGUUUCCGGCCCCGACGUCACCCGUCCUGAACGGAAGUCGCGCGGACUCGACCAAGAGGAGCCUGUCGGCCGCGACGCUGCCGACCACGCAGACGGACAGGUCGUUCCCGGUACCGCCGAUUCAAGCCAACGGCCAAUCGACGCCCGCGAGGGUCGAGAAUCGAUCCGCGGCGCAAUCAAUGUCUCGAGUAGAGAAUCAAUCCGUUGUAAUGCUGCCUGCGGCCGCGGCGGUGGCAGCUCGAGUGGAGAAUCAAUCGAGUAACACGCCGACGGUCGCCCGAAACGAGAAAUCAGCUGGUCCAGCCGGUGGUCCGGGCCCACUGGCGCCAAUCAAUCCGCUCACGAUGUCGGUGGCCUCGCAUUUGGUCAUGCAGAGCUUCAACGCUCUUCAGAAUCUCAACCCCGAUCAGAAUGCCGCGACCAAGAACAGUCCUACGUCCACCCCUGUCAAAGUUACACCGAAGAACAGCCCCACCGUGACCCCUACGAGAACCACCACCACCCCUCCCAGGCCCAGAAUCGCCAACCGGAGCGAAGAGACGACGCUUGGAUACGGCAAGGAUCCUUUCGAGCACUACGGUAUCGCACAGGGUGUCGUUAUGAAGAUCGAACGCGUCCGACGGGGGUCGAUGGAGAGUCCCAGCAGGUCUGUCAGCAACUGAGGAUCGUCGCGGGGCUGGGGUCGACGUCUAGAAAACGUGAGAACGCGUGUACAACGCUGUUCUCUGAAGCGAUACGACGUGGGAUGUCUUCUGGUUGGGUGAGGAGUUUGGAAGAGUCGUGGACAUCGUCCUGGUAUGACGGAAUGUCGGGUGGAGGUGGUUAAAUGUUGAUGACGUUAACAAAUAUGAUGGCUUUGCUCGGUAAUACAACUCUAGCAGGACCUGUCGAGCACUUGUGAGAGAGUUAAGAGCAUAGCCCUCUAGUGGCGAGCGUGGGAGGUGACGCCACAGGCCUUUGACGAAGACUCUGACUAUAAUUGAAUACCGAUAACAUAUCUCGAAGAAAAAUUGCUAGGCAAGGAAAGUACGAACAUUAUCAACAACUCGAGCCUGCUUAUAAAUAAAUUGAUAAACCUCCUGCUACAAUACAAGUAUGAUUUUGUACUGCGUAUUGGGACAGUUGAACGAUUUGUUCCAUAUAGAAUGCCAAACGAAAAUAAUUUCGUUUCACGAAUCGACGUGCAAAAUACACCGUCUCUAAGACAAAUUGCACGAGGCUGCAUCGCACGGUUUAAAAGAGGAAAGCAGGAAGAUCGCUUGCGUCAAAGUAAUUCGAAAGAUGCAAAGUUGUAAACGAUGUUACGUAACCGGACGAAGGAUCUAUACGAAUACGAGCGACGUUCAAGCUCGUUCGACUUUCUACAAAGUUUGUAUUAAACGGUAUGACACAACUGUACCGUUUAAGAUCAUCCGAUCGUUGGACGCGAGCCACGUCGAGGUCGGCUAUAGCGAUCCAUUUGUUCCUUCGUGCCGAUUCUUACAUUGUGUAGGUGGUACGUAGAACACGCUCCGCUGAAUAAUUUAUGAAUUAUAGCUGCUUUUAUUGCCGAUGACAGGGUGUCGACGAAUCGCUCGGAAAAAGGACAGCAAGGAACCAUUUGCAUAUCCUGAUGGUCGAUCAGUCAGCGACAAACGGAUAGAAUUUGGCACGAACGCGCGGAAAACGUCUACGUCCACGUUUCUCCGCGAUGUCUUUGUCGGUCCUCUCGAUCGCGAAGGACGAUCCUCAAUCCCGAUUCCUCGGGACUCGAGCGACCCGGCGGACGAUUUAAUUGACCGAUCGCCAUAACCGAUUAUAGCGUUCGUAGGACGGUAUUAGCGUAAUUGAAAUGUAAAUAUUACAUUGCACACCGUGAGAGGUUCCCGUUUCUCCCGAGUAGUUCAAGGUGUGGCCAACGGAAUGUGACCGUGGAUUAAAUUAAUUGUGAUACCAGAAGAUCCCUAGAACCAUUUUACGAUUCCCGAUCUUCUCGCGUCCGAUCGUCGAACGUCGCUUUGUAUACGUUACGAAGCUGUUGUAUACUUGUAAUUUUGUACCGUUGUUUGCGUCAGAGUCGGGCAAAUUGUAUUCACGAAUAUCGAAGAAAAAUCCAAAAAAUUGCUCGCAAACAUUUCAUGUUAUUAUUCGCGAUAAACGCACAGAGCAAACAAUGAUAACCUUUCGAAAAUUUGUGUUUGUUGUUCGUGAACAGAAUGUAAUCAACGGGAAAAUUGAACGUCGGGAAAUAAUAUGAAAGACAGCGUGAUCUCGUGCUUGUUUGUUUGCAAAUUCAUAUUUAUAGAUCGGUCUAAAUAAGCUUCAACCAUCGAGGAGAACCCCGCCGCGUCGGAAGCGUUAUCGAAGCUGGUAUAAACUAGUCUAUAAAUAUAAAUAAUAAAAAAGAGUUCGCGUAAGCAUCUAAUCUUAUAUUCGAAAUGCAAAUAGUUUCUAUAAAUAAGCAACGACUAAUUAUCAGUAUGAAACAAGCUAUUUUUAUUAACGUUUUGACUCAUGCGUUUUGGGUCGCCUAUAGAAUAAACGUAAUUAUGUAACGUGUAAAAUAUAGGAUUAAAUUGUAAGUAUUUAAGAGAAAUAUUAGAAAUUAGAAUAAC